This 403-nucleotide ribosomal RNA is filed under the name Verrucomicrobiota bacterium. Its description in RNAcentral is "Verrucomicrobia bacterium partial 16S ribosomal RNA". It matches the Rfam family "Bacterial small subunit ribosomal RNA", at positions 355 to 776 of the family's 1533-position model. The record is from RNAcentral. Lineage: Bacteria; Pseudomonadati; Verrucomicrobiota.
UGGGGAAUAUUGCACAAUGGGCGCAAGCCUGAUGCAGCAACGCCGCGUGAACGAUGAAGGUCUUCGGAACGUAAAGUUCUGUUGCAGGGGAAGAUAAUGACGGUAUCCUGUGAGGAAGCCCCGGCUAACUACGUGCCAGCAGCCGCGGUAAUACGUAGGGGGCUAGCGUUAUCCGGAUUUACUGGGCGUAAAUGGUGCGUAGGUGGUCUUUCAAGUCGGUGGUUAAAGGCUACGGCUCAACCGUAGUUAGCCUCCGAAACUGGAAGACUUGAGUGCAGGAGAGGAAAGUGGAAUUCCCAGUGUAGCGGUGAAAUGCGUAGAUAUUGGGAGGAACACCAGUAGCGAAGGCGGCUUUCUGGACUGAAACUGACACUGAGGCACGAAAGCGUGGGUAGCAAACAGG